UGACCUUUAAAUCAAUUUUUAUUAGAGAUGUUGACAUCUUGUAUUUUCUGACAACAGGCUGAUUGCCCACAGAUUGAUUAGACUGAAAGGCUUGACAAAUAACACAGAAACAAGGUGAAGCUGAAGAGCAUUUUGUUCUUUGUAGAAGCCUUUCCAUAUCAGUACUGUCCCAAGAGGGACCCAAACACACUAUAGCUCCUGACGAAGUUCUUAGACAUUCACAGUUCUCUUUACAAAGAUGAGGCUAUACACACGCUCCUCACCUAGUCUCACUGCAAAGGAAAGAACUUGACACUUCAGACAGCUACAACAAACAUACCUUCAGUAUCAUCCCAUUCCAGCUCUGAAGAGCACUCUUCAUUUCACUUCAUCCUGAGAGAACUAACCCACACAAGGUAUCAGAUUUAAGUGCAAGCUUAACAAGUUAGCAGCUGGGAAGUAACACCGAAGAACCACCUGGAACUCAUAGUAGCUACAAGCCAGAGUAGUGUGCAGCUGAUGCCAAAGCACUUCAUGAAAUUCAGCUGCUUUCUUCAUAAGGAAUUUACCAACUCAAACACUUUUACACACCACACAGAGCAAGUUCCUCCCCUAGAGGAAGGCCUACCAUACUUCUCAGGUGCCAGCAGUACUAUUUAUGCUGCUUUUUAACUCAAAACACUGAGAUUUUAGAAAGCUUCAUAAUAAAGGUGUUAGCUAUACCUACCCUGAAUGGGUUGGUCAGGAUGAAAACUCUUGAGUAUUAGGCUGUACUGGACCCAUGCACAUUAUUUACUCUGUACGCAGUUUCUUGAAUAUAGGUUCCAUGUUUUGAUCAAGUGAGAUGACAUUACAAAACUAGAACUACUCACCAUUAGCACCUUCAAACCAAUGCUUCACUGAGGUUUUGGACAUUUCUAAAAAGAACACCAUUCAUGCCGAAGAGCAACUGUUCAAUAUGGAUUUGUAUCACAGAAUAUAGUCCCCCUGCUGUCAUCAAACUUAAGGCUCAAGUUUCUUACAACUUGAGAAGCAAAUAAAAAACAAGGAAGUCUGAACAAAACAUGAACACGAAGUAUUCCAAAACCAAGGCGACCAUCUUGAGAAACCUGGGCAUCAGCAAACGCAAGCAGAUAAAAGAGUGAAGGGGGAAGAGUUGCUGCUUAAAUCUAUUUCACCUCCUUUUGCACCUGCCCAGAAUGCAGCCUCCGUUUACUGGCAGCAGCUCAUUCCUCAAAAUCCAGUUUGGAGAAAGCACAGCACCAAAGUUAGGAACAGUCCAAAUGCAGUUGGUACCACUCGGUCAAAAUGUUUACAUUGGUCUCAAUGAGGAAAGCUUGAAACUUCUUUAAACAAAGCAAGCCCUGAAAAGAGGAGACUGCCUCAGCAAGACUGCUCCUUCAGGGGCAGGUUUUAAUGUCAGACACUAAGCAGAGUAAAUGUCAGAAUGCUGACUUCACGCACACUGCAUGAUGAAAUAGAGGAUGGUGAGAAAUCCCCAGGAACACAGUAAGUGUUCCUAAGUCCUACUGUUUUUAUCGUGCUUACAUUUCUAAGCUCAGGGGUGUACUGACUGUUAAGCACGUUUACCGUUAUAUUUAAGAUUUCCUUUUUUUAAGGCAAACUCAGGGAAAAACCCAACCAAACAUGUGGAACAAAUAGGACAGGAAAGGGUUUCUUUCCUGGUGAAAAUUAAAUAGUGUGAAGUCUUUAAAGAUCAGUCACAGUAUUAUUUUUGUUAUCAAUUUAUGGAAUACAGACCACACUCAAGAUUAGACAGCAUUAAACUCUUGACUCUGAAAUAAUAUACUACAAACUCACCUGUUCCUUUCAUUCUGAGAUUCACUUUGGCCACUGCAGGGUGCAAAAUUGAACGUUUCUAAAAGUGUUCUGAAAACUUGUGUCAAAAUCUGAACUAGAAACUUGCAGACUGAUUCAUAUACACUGUACCUAUAAGUACGAAUAAUUACAUUACCUGCUGCCUGAGAACAGAAUCCUAAAAUGAUUUUCCUUCUACAGAGUACAAUUUCAAGAAUUAAAUAGUAUUUUUAAAUCCAAGCAUUCCCAUGGCCAAGGGCCAGAACAUUUCUCUGCUUAAAAUAUCAAGAUAAAACUACUACUUUUUAUUCCCGUGCUUCCCAAAUUAGAAGCACUGAGGGUAGCUGAGUAUCCAUCUCCAAACAGAAGGCAAGGCACACUCUUCUUAGUGCAGCUUGCGAAGGAGAGUCAGACUAUUGAGAACAAGCAGCUGUCUUAGCCCUAAAUAAUCCUGUAUUGUGGGAUGAACAAAACUCUUCAAGGCAGCAAUAUC
RNAcentral lists this long non-coding RNA (2290 nucleotides) under Strigops habroptila (Kakapo). Its description in RNAcentral is "lncRNA (ENSSHBG00005008695.1)". The record is from RNAcentral. Lineage: Eukaryota; Metazoa; Chordata; Aves; Psittaciformes; Psittacidae.